Long non-coding RNA from Nerophis lumbriciformis (worm pipefish), 1776 nucleotides. RefSeq lists it as uncharacterized. Lineage: Eukaryota; Metazoa; Chordata; Actinopteri; Syngnathiformes; Syngnathidae. The record is from RefSeq and is a predicted model, not a curated record.
CUGGAUUACUUUUUGUCCAAAACUCACAAGAAAAGAGACAUUUCAUCGGCAUGAAGACGUGGUUACUGGGUGGUCUUCUUACCAUUUGCAGGUGCUUCCAGAGGUCUGCAUUGACUGUGUUCUUGUACUUGAACUCCUCCAAGUACGUCUGCAGACCACACCCAGCAUUAUUCACAUCAUCAUCAAUGAUGCCCUCAAGUAUCAAACACCCACAUGCAGUCCUUUGGAGAAGACUUCCUCUGUGAUGAACUCCGACAGCAUCCUGAGGACGGCGGCGCCCUAAAGGGCGGGCAGAAAGGAGUUGGAAGCCGCAAAAGUAGCGCGUGAGCCGAGUGGCGUUUGAGAGCACCUUGCUGUACGUGAUGCCGUCGAAGAGUUGAUCGAUCUGCUCCGGCUCCUGCACGUCCUCCUCCUUCAACGAGAGAGGGUGGGACGAGGCCAUGGAGUCCUCCGCCAUCACGCCAAUGACCUCAUUCAGGACUAUUAAGUCUUUCUGGGGGGAGAGGAAGUGCCCAUGUUUGGCGUUCCUGGGGCGGAGCAACAUGAGAGCACCUGACUCUACGCGCUAACCAGGCCUUCAUGAGCCAUGAAACUAUGGAGAAGCUGCUGAUGGUGUGUUUGACGGAGAAGCAGCUGGAAGGAGAUACUGUCCACUCUCCAAGGUGGGUUCUGCAUAGUGGACCCCCAGGUAGGACACGUAGGUGGCGAAUCCUUCAUUGAGCCACAAGUCGUUCCACCAGCGCAUGGUCACCAAGUUCCCAAACCACUGGCCAGACACAAAAGUCUUUUAUCAAAUGUGGACAUGACCGCCGUGCUGUGGAUCAUGUACUCACCAUGUGAGCCAGCUCGUGGGAGAUGACGGUGGCCACAUACUCUCGGUCGCCAUUGGAGGGCAGGCGAGGGUUGUACAGAAGGGCGUUCUCGUUGUAGGUGAUCAGGCCCCAGUUCUCCAUGCCUGCGGUAUUUAAGUCAGGUAAAGCGAUCUGGUCUACAAAGACAAAGACGUGGACACGGGUAUUGGGACUGUGGACAUUACACCUCCCCAAAACAGCGUGAGAUCUUUACCAGACUUCUCCAGAGGGUAGCGUGAGUUGUAGUAGCGUUCAAAGUACGCCAGGAUCGGUCCGGUCUUGGCCAGAGCGUAGGCCCCCUUACCCGCCUCUAUGGCCUGUCUGCGGGCCCAGAUCCUGAUCUGGAGAUAGCAACAGCUCAAUUACUGUCACUGGCAGUCCACUAGAGGGCGGCAAACAUCAACAUAUGACAGGAGCCAAAGAUGCUAGUCAAAGAUCCUCUAUAGAGGACUGGAGUGCUGUGUUGAUCUUAAGGACCAAAUAUAGUGGUGCCAAUCAAAGAUCGUCUAUAUUACAGGAGUGAUUGGCUGUGUUUAAGGGUCGCUGUAAAACUCUGGUCUUAUAAGAUAAAUACACAAGUGCUCUGCUGUAUUCUCAAAUCAAUGUCAGAAACCAACAUUGAUUAAACGUCGUCAAAAAAUAUGUUGUUUUAAUGUUGUAUUUGUGUUGUGAAAUGACCAAAAUUCAAGUCAAAUCAACGUCACGAACUUACAUUGAUUAAACGUCAAAAAGCAUGUUGUUUCAACGUUAUGUUCGACUUGCUCAAAGUCAGGACCUAAUUCAACAAGGGUUACACUCUUGUUUUAGGGAUCCGCUUCAAAAUGCUCGGCAAAGAUGCUUUAAAAAUGUUUGUUUUGUAGAAUAUUGGUUGGGAAAUUACCAAACUUCAAUGGUCAAAUCAACGUUAGAACCCAGCAUUGAUUAA